RNAcentral lists this ribosomal RNA (1089 nucleotides) under uncultured bacterium. RNAcentral's name for it is "bacterial SSU rRNA". It matches the Rfam family "Bacterial small subunit ribosomal RNA", at positions 386 to 1504 of the family's 1533-position model. The record is from RNAcentral.
AUCCAGCAAUGCCGCGUGUGUGAUGAAGGCCUUAGGGUUGUAAAGCACUUUCACUGGUGAAGAUGAUGACUGUACCCGAAUAAGAAGGUCCGGCUAACUUCGUGCCAGCAGCCGCGGUAAUACGAAGGGACCUAGCGUAGUUCGGAAUUACUGGGCUUAAAGAGUUCGUAGGUGGUUGAAAAAGUUAGUGGUGAAAUCCCAGAGCUUAACUCUGGAACUGCCAUUAAAACUUUUCAGCUAGAGUAUGAUAGAGGAAAGCAGAAUUUCUAGUGUAGAGGUGAAAUUCGUAGAUAUUAGAAAGAAUACCAAUUGCGAAGGCAGCUUUCUGGAUCAUUACUGACACUGAGGAACGAAAGCAUGGGUAGCGAAGAGGAUUAGAUACCCUCGUAGUCCAUGCCGUAAACGAUGUGUGUUAGACGUUGGAAAUUUAUUUUCAGUGUCGCAGGGAAACCGAUAAACACACCGCCUGGGGAGUACGACCGCAAGGUUAAAACUCAAAUGAAUUGACGGGGACCCGCACAAGUAGUGGAGCAUGUGGUUUAAUUCGAAGAUACGCGCAGAACCUUACCAACACUUGACAUGUUCGUCGCGACUCUAAGAGAUUAGAGUUUUCGGUUCGGCCGGACGAAACACAGGUGCUGCAUGGCUGUCGUCAGCUCGUGUCGUGAGAUGUUGGGUUAAGUCCCGCAACGAGCGCAACCCUCACUUUUAGUUGCCAUCAUUAAGUUGGGCACUCUGAAAGAACUGCCAGUGAUAAGCUGGAGGAAGGUGGGGAUGACGUCAAGUCCUCAUGGCCCUUACGUGUUGGGCUACACACGUGCUACAAUGGUAUCUACAACAGGAAGCAAGACUGCGAAGUUAAGCAAAUCCCUAAAAGAUACCUCAGUUCGGAUUGCACUCUGCAACUCGAGUGCAUGAAGCUGGAAUUACUAGUAAUCGUGGAUCAGCGUGCCACGGUGAAUGCGUUCCCGGGUCUUGUACACACCGCCCGUCACACCAUGGGAGUUGGUUCUACCUUAAGGCAAGGUUUCAAACCCUUGACCACGGUAUAGUCAGCGACUGGGGUGAAGUCGUAACAAGGUAACCGUA